RNAcentral lists this long non-coding RNA (3224 nucleotides) under Papio anubis (olive baboon). RNAcentral's name for it is "lncRNA (ENSPANG00000050356.1)". The record is from RNAcentral. Lineage: Eukaryota; Metazoa; Chordata; Mammalia; Primates; Cercopithecidae.
GCUGUCAUUGUUUAAUUUUUAAAAUAAUACCUAAAAUGCUCCCAGUAACUUACAGAUGAUCCUUUCCUCAUUAGAAUAAUUACUAAAAACAAAACAAAACUUUGACUCUCAAAAUAGAAAUCUAUGUAAAUAGAGAAAGGGGAAGUUGAAAUCCACAAAAAUAACAUUAAGAAAGGACUACAAAUUCAAAGUGAGUUUAGAAUGAGGAAAACUAAAGAUCAGAACUAUGACUCAGGGUCUUCACUGAGGUUUCUGCUACUUCAUUUUAGCUCAGCUACGCUGAGUAUUUACAAGUGAAAUUUCCUUGAAGUGCAAAGACUUCAGACUUCUGGUCAACAGCUGCUACCCAAAAUAACUACGAGUAGUAAUAAGUGGUGUUUGUGGAGAGCUUCUACCCAAGGAAUCUAAAGACAUAUGCAAGGCCAACAAGUUAAUCAACAAGAAGCUGGUGGUUUUCUUACAACUCAUCUCUAGAGGAAAUCACGACAAAUGUGCCUUCACAGACCUGUUGUUGUGUCUCCAUGCAGUGACUGUUGCUCUGCUGUCCUUUUGCAGUGUUGCUGUGACACAGCCAAAGGAACCCAAAUAAAACAGAAACAUGAACCAAGACCUACUCAAAUCCAUCCAGGGGCCUAUGCUGGUGAAAGGGAAGUUGCUGAGGUCUCAGGAAUGCCACCAGAGGCUGAGCCUCAGGAGAACCCGAAUCAGAGAGUCCCAGUGUGGGAAGUGGGAAAAUUGUCCCGAAAAAUACUCAGGCCCUAAUCUUAUAUGGAAAAAGCUUCUAUCCAGAGGAGAUUAAAUUAAGGAUCUUGAGGUAAGGGAGACUUUCCCGGGUGACCUGGGUGAUUCCUAAAGCCAUUGUAGGUAAGAAGUAGGCAGAGGGAUUUGACUAUAGACCGAAGAGAAGAAGGCCCUGUGCUGGAAGGAGAGGGAGGCAGAGUCUGGGAGGGCCACUGCUGGGAGGCUGUUGGGCAUGAAGUGGAGAAAGGGCCAGGAGCAAGGAACGCAAGGAACACAAGGAACACAGCUCUGGAACCUGGAGAAGGAGAGAAACAGAUCAUUUGCAAAUCCCCAUGAAGGAGCACAGUCCUGCCGACAUCUUGGUUCUGCCCUGGUGAAACCCAUUUUAGAUUGGUGACUUCCAGAAUGGUAAGCUAUUAAAACUGUACUGGUUUAACCAUCAGGUUUGUGGGGAUUUGUUACAGCAGCCAUAGGAAACUAGCACACCAGGAACCGAGGCCAGCAGGGUCGGAGCGUGUGGGCCUCCCCCGCCACGCUGCUCCCCGGUUCGCCGACUCUGCUGCUCCUCCCCAUGCACCCCUACCUCCAUGGAUUUGCUUCGAAAAACCCCACGUUUACCUCCUGCCUUUCUUCAGCCUAGGAAUGUAGCCAAGAUGCACAAGGGAAAAUAACUCAAGUUUACAAGACACAGUUUUUUUUUCCAGCCAAUUUUAUAAGGCCAGGCCUCAGGCCCUCAUGCGUAGGUUAACCAGAGCUUUGUUGCCUCGGCGUCAGGUCCAAAGACAGCAGUGGCCACUUAGGGCUUUUCCUUGACCUGGGACUAGGCAGACAUGCUUUCGCAUUAGAGGUUGUGGGAGGCAAAGUCUAUUUCAUGCCUACACCAGUCACUUUUUAUGUUUUAUGUACUAAAGAAUUACCCACAACUUCCAGAAAGUGUUAAACAAUGUUCAGAAAGAGUAGUUGCAAGUUACUAAACCCCAACUCAAACUGGCCUAAGUAAAACCGGGACUUUCCCUGCUGGGUGGAUUCAGGACCAUAGUGAACCCCAGGCGCUGGACCAUGGUGUGCUGUGCCUCAGGUAUAGCCGGGCAGCCUCAGCAGGCGAGGCCCUUCUGCUUCUCCCUGAUCCCCCUGCCUCAUUCAUAGACAGAAUUCUUCACAUGCAAGGGACAGUCAUUUCUGAUAGUGCUCAAGAUUCACACCUUCCAAAUCCAGUCUCAGAAGAGGAGUUUCCCUGACACGUCCCCCAGCUCGGCAUCCAGGCUGGUGAAAAGGGACUUAGGUUCCGCAGUAGAUCAGGUGUCAGGGAAAAAUGAAGGAAGGAACGGCAGGAAGGAAGAAGAGGAGGAAGAAAGGAAGGGAGAGAGGAAAGGAAAGAAAUGAAGGAAGGAAAGAAAGAAGGAAGAAAGGAAAGAAGGAAAUAACAAAGUCCAAAAGGCUGGGGCCAAGAAAGAACAGGGCAGCCUGUGAGAUCCUUGAGUGGGAAGGUGGGGUUCCCUAGAGGUGAUGGGACUAGAGGGUGGUUUCUAGCUGCCUGGAGAGGGGAGGUGCUGGCUGUUUCAUCCAAACGUGCUCCUGGUUCAGCAUGCUUGCUUUACUACUGAUUUUAAAACUAUUUCUAAUGUAUCUGAGGGUCAUUAUGACAGUAAUAAUAAUAAUAACAAACACUUACAUGGAGGUUGCUGUGUGUCAGGAACUGUUUUGAGCAUUUCAUUUUAAAUUACUGAAACAAUUAUGAUAUACUGUGGAUAUUUGUCCCCAUGCAAAUCUCAUGCUAAAUUGUAAUCCCCAGUGCUGGAGGUAUAGGCUGGUGGGAGCUGUUUGAAUCAUGGGAGUGGAUCCCUCAUGGCUUGGUGCUAUCUUCAUGAUAGUGAGUGAGUUCUCAUGAGAUCUAGUUGUUUAAAUGUGUGUGGCACCUGCCCGCCCCUCCUCUCUCUCUUGCUCGUGUUUUCACAGUGGGAUAUUCUUGCUCCCCCUUUGCCUUCCACCAUGAUUGAAAGCUUCCUGAGACCUCAUCAGAAGUCAAGUGUAUUAGUCUGCUUUCACGCUGCUGAUAAAGACAUACCUGAGACUGGGUAAUUUACAAAAGAAAGAGGUUAAUUCGACUCACAGUUCCACAUGGCUGGGGAGGCCUCACAAUCCAGGCGGAAGGUAAAAGGCACGCAGCAGACAAGAGAGAAAAUGAGAAUCAAGUGAAACGGGUUUUCCCUUAUCGAACUAUCGGAUCUUGUGAGACUCAUCCACUACUAAAAGAACAGUAUGGGAGGAACCACCCCCAUGAUUCAAUUAUCUCCCACCAGUCCCACAACACUGGGAAUUCUGAGAGCUACCAUUCAAGAUGAGAUUUGGGUGGGAACACAGCCAAACCAUAUCACAAGUAUGCCUAGCACCAUGCUUUCUGUACAGACUGUAGAACUGUGAGCCAAUUAAAUCCCUUUGCUAUGCAUUACCCAGUCUCAGGUGUUUCUUUGUAGCAAUCCAAG